RNAcentral lists this transfer RNA (72 nucleotides) under Camelus bactrianus (Bactrian camel). It matches the Rfam family "tRNA". Rfam says of the family: Transfer RNA (tRNA) molecules are approximately 80 nucleotides in length. Their secondary structure includes four short double-helical elements and three loops (D, anti-codon, and T loops). The record is from Rfam by way of RNAcentral. RNAcentral also lists the same sequence under 2 other names. Lineage: Eukaryota; Metazoa; Chordata; Mammalia; Artiodactyla; Camelidae.
GGCUAUAUAGCUCAGUGGUAGAGUGUAUAUUUACCAUGCAUGAGGUCAUGGGUUCAAUCCCUAGCAUCUCCA